Molecule: long non-coding RNA, 40756 nt
Filed under: Manihot esculenta (cassava)
Lineage: Eukaryota; Viridiplantae; Streptophyta; Magnoliopsida; Malpighiales; Euphorbiaceae
Description: long non-coding RNA (MESC_LNC005249)
Source: RNAcentral
UUUCCAUUCUCGAGCAGGCUUUAGUUACUGUCGGUUACUUCCCGGCCGUUAAAAGUCACAGAUAGUAUUCGACUUUAUUUUAUUUGGAAAGGAGAGAAAAGGGAAAGGACCAAGAACAUCCCUUCACUCUUCCGGACACACAAGCGAAAUCGGAUCCUUCAGUUUAUUUUUUGAGGAAGAAAAAACAGAAAAAUGGCGAUGACGAUUGAAGGUACUGUUUCUUAAUCUCUUCUUUCUUCAGUCAUUUCCACUUUCUCUUUUUCGUUUUGAAUUGAGAUCAGAUCAUCUUUUUUUUGUUUUUUUUUUCCCUUCCCCAUUUAAUAUGCAUUCCCCCCUUUUGUUUCGUUUAAUUUUGUAGCAAUUGUACCUAUUUAUAGAAUUUUUUUCCAGUUAGUCAUUUCAAUUCGGGUUUGCUUUAGUUUUCGAGGGUUUUGGAUUCAACAGGUGUUGAAUUUGAGUUAAAUUCACCUAAGAGGAUGUGUGUUUUCACUAUUUGGAGGCUAAUCCUCUGUUUGUUUCUCGGGAUAAAGAGCGAAGGAACGAUGUAAAUGGCAUUUUUUUUUCUUUUUUUACAAUAUUGAUUGGUUCGUUAGAUUAGUUUGGUUUAAAUUCCUUACUCUACUAAUGGAACUUGCUGAAAAUAAUGAGGCAUACCGAUUUGUAUGUUCGAAGCUUACUUAUCGUACAAUAUCUUUUAAGGUAGAAUUAUCUGUAAUUUAUGGGCUAGGUUUGAUAGUGGAUUGUGUUUAUUCAUGUUUCAAACUCAUGUAUUUAUUUGGAGUCCAAAUUACUGUAAUGUAGUGUAUAAUAUCAGUUCUUAUUGAUUUUUAAUGUUUGGCACCUCAUUGUUUUAUUACACUAAUAUUAAUUUCUGAUGCUAACUUCUUUUUUUUUUUUUUCCGGGUGCAUUUCUGCUCUGGUGUUGCUGAAUGGACAUUGACCUUUGUCUGCAGUGUAAGUUGGAUGCUUGAAUCCAAAAUUUUAGCUUGUCAUGUAUUCCAAAUAAUGCCUAUAAUGUGUUAACUGAAAUGCAGGCUUGCUGGACUUGCUUUUAUGUUUUCAGCUAGCAUUCUACUGCAAGUAUUGGUAUGUUUUUUAUUUGAUUGGUUGCAUUGUGAUUACCCUGUAUUGUAAUUAUUAUCUAAUGGGAUUUUCAUUGAUAUUGUUGUCAUUUAAUGUCAUGUUGGAUCUACUGUCUGAUGGGUUUUUCAUGUUUCAGGGUGUAUAUUAGCUGAUCUUAGACAUAUUUUUCUUCUGCCUUUUUUCAUUCCUGAUGUCGUCUUUCCUUGGCUAUACUUUUAGGAGAUUCAUAUGAAAGAGAUGGCAUGCUUCUCUACUUAAAGUGCCUUGAGUAUUUAUCCAGUUACUUUUAUUUCACUUGUCUUGACGAGUCAAGUUAUCUUAGUUUGUGCUUGUGUUAUUGUUGCAAGAUUGAAUAAAAAAUGUACUUUUUUUUUUCUGUGUAAUCUACUCCUUUAAAUAAGAUGAUGGAUGGACGGACCAUUUUUAACACUUUGAAAAACUGGGAGGCAAUCUAGGAACAAUCCAAAAAUUGCCUAUUUUUUUUAGUUAAUGUCCAUUGUCAAUGGGUAAGCACAAAGGGAGAGUGUGAGGUUGCCUUUCUGAGUUGAAGUGUAAAGGUUGCAUAGAAUCACAAGUUGGGCCAUUAAGUGCAUGAUCAUCAUAGCCAUUGCAGGAGUGAGAGGGGGAGCUGAACUUGGGAGAUGAUAAAUUUGUCAUAUGACAUAUUGUUUCAGAUUCCACAUGGAAUAAUUAGAAGAAACCAUAGUAAAGGGCCAUUGUAUUCUGGUUUUUUGAUCUGAGCAUUGGCUUUCCUCAUUUUAUUCUUUUUUAACUGUGUGCCAAUGUAGGCCGACGGGAAGGGACUAUGCUUUAUUGAAUCAUGACUUUAAAUACAUUGUACAAAGUUCUAGUUUCAUUUGAUGACUAAAUAUUGCUUAUGUCUUUUACUGGUAUUUAAUUGUCAGAAAGUACCUAGUUUAAUAGGUUACAUCUUGAAUGCUUUUGGAAUUAAUAUAAGUUUUAUGUUAUGAUUUAUUUAAUGAGUUUAAAUACAAUUAACUCAAUCUAGAUUGGGCAAACACAUUGGAGCUAUUGGCAAGAAAGUAGUUUGAGGUUUAAAACUCCGUUGAAUUGAGUUAAAAAAAGGGGGAUUAUGACACUUGGACCCUUGACUUUUCCACCCUUGACUUUUCCAUUUGUUGGCUAAUUGUUGUGGAGGAAGAUUACCAUUAAUAAAUUGGCAAUUAUCAGUGAGACUUUUUUUAAUCCUAUAGUUUACUUUGUUUUACGUUGAUUUUUAUUAAAAUAUGGAUCUUAGUUAAAGGUGGUUUGGACUUUUGUCCUUGUUAAAUAAUAGGAAGAAAAUUAGUAGAUUUCCAAAUCAAUUAGCAUAAUUAUAGGAAUAGAGUUUGUAUAUUUUCCUAGUUAGUUAGCUUUAUUUUGGGAAGGCUUGUAUAUAAAUUUGUAGUCAUUCUUCAUGAAAUAUAUUUCAGUUUUCUACACCAACAAUAGCAUGGUAUCACAGCUAGGUCUCAAGAAACGUAGAAUCUGGACUAUCUUUUUCCCCCCUUCUCUGUUUGGAUUCAAGCUACUGGAGUUUUUGGGUCAUCCAUCUAAGGUGACAUUUUAUCUAAUUGCACGUCCUAGGGAAUUCUAGUCCGCCAAUUGGCUUGUUCUCAAGAUCAAGUCAUCAUGCUCAGUUAUACCUUUUAAAAUUAGAAUAAUAGAAGAGAAAAGAAAAUAAUACUAAAAGAUUUACAUGGUUCGUCUACGAGAGCCUACAUCCACAGACACAAAGCUUCAAAAGAUUAUAUCUUUAUUGAAUUGGAUUAUAUUUUUAAAAUAUAAAGGCUUCUCCAUUUAUAAUAGAGGAUCUAAGACAUAUAUGGUGUGAUACUAUAAAUUAAGCGAUUCUCCGACUAUAAUAGGAAUAUAUCAAGUCUUCCUAUUUUAGUAAUUAUAGUCAUAUAUUAUUUAUCUAUUUAGGAAUACAAAUCCUAUGUUAAAUAUGAAUAACUUUCCAUUACACCCCCUUAAUGUAGCAUGAAAUUUUAUCAAUUCUAACAAUACCAGAAAAAAGUUUGGUUUUUUGAAAAAAAUACGUAGGUGGUUUCAAAGGUAUUUUAGUGAGGAAAAUAUAAGGAAAGUCAUAAGAUGGGAUAUUAGAAAAAAUUUUCAGGAGUGUUGGAUAUUUGCUAAAUCUCUUAAGAAUUCUCUUCUAGUGAUGUGGUUAGAACGUAACACUUGGAACUUGGAAUUCUGGAUCUAAUUUUUCACCCUUGUUUCUUAGAAGGAUUGUCUUUUAACAUGAAGAAUUUCCAACCUAUUAGUAUGGAGACUAGUAUCUAGAAAAUUGUUUAUGGUGUCUUAUCUGAUAAAAUCGAAUGUCAUUCUAGAUGAUACCAUUAUUCCAACCAUAUUGUUCUUAUUGAAGGAUGAGAAAUUAUGGAUGAUGAUUUGGUAGUUGCUGAGGCUGUUAAUGAUGCUAGGAAUAAACAUGGGAAAGUUUUUAUUAAAUUGAAUUUUGAAAUGGCCUAUGGUUGUGCAAAAUGCAAAUUAAAACUUUCUGAUGGGAUCAUGGAUAAGAGAUAUUUGAAAUUAGAAGAAACCUGUGGCUUGUUGUUUAUCUUCUGAGGAAAACUAGAUUUUGCUAGUGUUUUGGAGUCAUUUUUGAAAACCAAUUUAGUUAUUUUGCCAGGUCGAAAGGCACAAAGUUAAAGCUACCUCUGUUAAUUUUUUUUUUCUGGUUCUAUUUCUAGUGUCAAUUGAAGGAGAAUGCAUUUCCUGAUUUUAUUCCCUGCCAACUCUAACUAAUAAUUCCUUCUUCUAUCAAAUGUAAAAAAGAAGAGGGGUUAGGGGCUGACGAGUGCUGAAAGGAAAGGAAACUGUAUGAAUCUUCUACAAAUGGUUUAGAAGAUGAUGUUUGUUUGUCUAUUUAUUUAUUAACAAGAGUUUUUUUUUUUUUUUCUAAUUCCUUAAAAUUUUUGCUUGGGAUGGCAGGCUUGUGCAAUAUACAGCAACUGGUGGCCUAUGCUAUCAGGUUUGGACUGUUUGGUAUAUUCGACUUGCAUGCUACAAUUUCACAUUACAGAGUGAUGAUGUAAUUCUGUUGUCUAACAGCUCUCAUGUAUGUGCUGGUGCCUAUGCCUUGUUUAUUCUUUGGAGGUGGGUCCACUCAGUUUCUGAUUAGCCGGGAUGGUGGAGGGUGAGUACUUAAUUUUAGACCCUUGUACUGUUAACUAUUUCUUGUUAAUUAUUUUAUGUGGGUGUUCAUGUACACACACAUGGGAGACAGUAGCUGGUAUUUUGUUUAUUUCAUAUCUUCUAUGGUAACUUGAAGCUUUACAGAUAUUUUUCACCCUUUUCUUCAUGAGCCGCAUCUCAUGCAGUAUUCCAUUCCAAGAAUUUUAUUAUCAAAUCUUGUUUCUAUGACAGAUUUGUUUGUUUUUUUCUUCAAAUAUUUCCAAAUGCACUGGACUAGUGAAUCUGAAAUGUCGAAAUUUAGGUUUGAUAAUCAAUAGCUCUUUUUGAUUUGUUGGAAUCAUGAUUGUAGAUCAAACCAACUCACCUAGGCCUUAGUCUCCAAUGGAAUGGGGUUGGCUACAUGUAGAUUCACAAAUCAAAUAAAUUUUGUUGUGCAAAUGCAGUAAUGUUGCAUUUGGUUCAUGGGAUUUGAGAUGUUGACAUUUAGGUUUCAUAUAAGCUCUUUUUGACGGGUUACUUUCAUGAAUAUAGAGCAAUUCAACUCGAUUAGGCUUCAAUUUCAGAUGAGUUGGGUUGGCUGUAUGUAGAUUCAUGAGUGCCUAUGUUUAAACUUAUUUGAGGUACUUCUGAAAUUCUUAUAAAAUGUGUGAUAUGAAAUAUGAAAUUCUAUUCAAAUUCUCCAAAAAAGUUAGAACUACUUAAAUUUGUUUUCAUUGAAAUUUAUAUUUUAACACAUAUUUAUGAAUAUAAUAAACUAAAUAAUAAUUCUUAAACUUUAUUAAACAAUUUAAACCAAAAGAUCAUGUCUGGAUCUUGCUGAUUGGCAUCACUACUGAAUUCGGUCUAUAAAAGCGUCUGUUCCAAAAAGUUUAUCAACUUCAUUAUGUUUGAAACUUUCUGUUCCUAUAAGGUUCCGAUUGUUUCAUGGCUAGAAAAUAUUACCUGUGUUCUCCACUGGUUGGGAGUGCAAAAGAAAAUUAAGGGAGAGGAAGUCAUUUCCCCACUCAUGGGAAAAUGCUCGCCUUGUAAGGGAAAAUAACUUCCUGUUUCGAGGAUAGGAAGUUAUUUCUCCGGCCAUGCUCCACCUCCUUUUGGUUAGUUUUUGAUUUGCUGUGACUUCAUUUCCUAUAUUUAUUUAUACAUAUAUAUUUUCACUUGCUUUAUUUUCCUUUUCUACUUUGCUUUUUGUUCUUCCCCCUUCCAUUAUUGAGAAGCCUGCAUGCAUCAACGCUCCUCAAACUCACAAAGUUUGAGAUGCUUCAUAUAUUAACUUACUCUUUAUAUAUAUAUUUUAAUGCCAUAUGAGACAAAAUGUAAUAUCAAAUAUGAUGUGGAAAGAAGUAAUAUUAAAGGAUUUGCAAGUCUUGACUAUUAAUAUGAACUUGGUGUCAAUGCUUAACGGCAACAAAAGGCUCAUAUAGUAAAUCCCAACUAAUUUGGGAUUAAGACUUGGUUGUUAUUGUUGUUAAACAACAAAUGGAAAAUGUUUUCUAUAGACAAGUUAUUUUCUGUGAAAAAAUAGAUAUGUAUACGCAAGAACAUCCAUAGGGAGAAAUUUUUCUUUGGUUUCUUUUUUGUUUUGGGGGAGGUGGAUUAGCUUUAUCAUAAUUGAAUCUCUUGAUUUUUAAAGCUUGCCUUCCAAAUGCAACACUAUAUUGAAUCUAUUUUUAUUUGUGUUGCAGUUGGAUCGGUGCUGCUAAAUUCCUUACAGGGGCGUCAACUGUUGGGAGCAUAGCCAUUCCUAUAAUCCUUAGGCAUGCUCAUAUGAUUGAAACGGGGGCUAUGUUGAUCGAGUUCACAUCUUUCUUCAUAUUUGUUUGCACAGUCUUGUGUUUUCAUCGCGCCAGUCUAGAGGACGAUUGGUGAUUGAUUGAAUGAUUGAUAAUUGACGCUUGUCAAAUUCUGAUAUGACAUGUAUGAAUUCUGAUAUAACUUGUAUGCUUUUGUUGAACUUACAGAUUAUGACCAAUUAGUUGUAUAUACCUGGGAAAAGAAGAGUAAGAUUUCCCAUCCUGUAAAUUCCACUUAUUUAAAUCUUCCAAGGGAACAUGGAUUCACAGUUAUUUGCUUUUGUUACGAUUUAUUUUCCAUUAUUUUCAUAUGGUAAAUUCAGCAUAUGUUUUUUAUGUUUCUAAAAAUCGUUGGGUAAAUUAGCAUUAAAUUAUUUAGUCAAUAUUUUGAAAUUUUUUGUUUAAUUGAAAUUGACCCAACAUUUUGUAUUAUUUUGAAGAAACUACUUGUUUGAGCAAAUAAAUUUAUUUUUAUUUAAAAAAAUCAAAUUUUGUUACUAAAAGAUGUAUGUUUGUAAUCCUUGUCAAUGAAUUAGCAACGGAUCAAAAUCAAUUGUAAUAAUCCUCGUUGCUAAUUGAUGGUGCUUAUGAUCCUCCUAGUCAUCCGAUGAUAACGCUGAUAAGAGAGCACUGCCACUCUAGAUUAUUUUAAUUUUUUUACCAUGAUGUAUAUAUAUAUAUAAAAUUAGGGAAAAUAAUUUAAAUCUAAUUUAUCAAACAAAUCCAUAUAUCAUUAACAAAUAAGUCAGGCUAUAUAGUAAAUAUGUAUUCAUUUUCUUCUUUUUUUUUUAUUUAAAUCAUUAAAAUAUAAAAAUGUGUGAAUAUAUAAUAAAUUAUUAUUUUAUUAAUAAAAUGAAAUUAUUAAUAAGAGAAUGAAUAGUGAGUUUCAUAUUAUUAGACUCAAUAUUUUAAUUGGUAAUAUGGCAGAGAGCCAAAUUUGACAUAAUCAUCAUAGUUUUUUUGCUAAAGACACUGAUUAAUAAGCUUAAGUGUGAUUAAUCAAUAUGUAAAGAAAAAAAUAGUAGAAUGGUUGGAUGCCUAUAAACAAUCACAUCGAUGCUAAAGUAUGUAAUUUAUUAGAAAUGACAAUGACAAGUUUAAGAAAUAUCUUAAUCUUAGAGUAAAUAUGUAAAAAAUGAAGAAUAUAUAUCUUAAAUUUUAUAUAAUUUUUAUUUUUAUACUGUAAAAAAAUAAAAUUAAUUAUCGAAUUUUUAAAAAUUCGAGUGGUAUCCGUUAGUAAAUAAAAAAUCUCGGAUUAGAGACAUUAUGGAGAAUAAGAGACAAUUAAUUCAGAAGAGAUGAGUUUUAUAUUACUCUGAAUAUCGAGUGAUAUGAUACUCAAAUUUUUUUUUUCUCUGUGAAACUUUUAUAACUUAAUAUAAUAGCCUCGUGAGAUCUGGACGGAUAUUACAUAUCACAUAUACAAAAACAUAUCACAUAUACAAAAACUAUUUAUGCUGAUUUAGAAUUUAGUUCAAAUUACGUCAAUUUAAAGGCAAUCUUGGCUUAGUCCAAUCACGGCUUAUGCUUCAAUUGAGUAGAAAAAAAAUUUCCAUGCUUUUUAUGUUUGGAACAUUUAUGAUAAUUAUUAAUAAAAAAAUAUUUUCUAAUCAAUUUUGAGUAAAAUAAUUUUUUGUGAAAAAAUGUAUUUUUCAAAUUUUAUUAAAAUUACUAAUUCUAUACAUAAAUUUAUUAGUAUCUUUUAUAUUUUAAUAUCCCAAGUAAAUAAUAAAAAAGUAAAAUUAUUUCCAUCCACAAAGAAUUUUUAACAUAACAUAUUUUUUCACAUAUAAAUUAUUUUUUUUUAUAAAUAUACAGAGUUUUAAUAUUGAAAAAUUUGAGUUCCAAAUAAAUUUAUUAAUAUAAAAUUUAGGAAAUCAUUUAUAAUCUAAAAUUUCAAUUCAAGUAUACUGUUUAUCUUCUUCUUUUUUGUCGAAGAAUAUAAUGUUUAACUUUGAUAUUAUAAUUAUAGUGAUUGGAUAUAUUUGCAUCUUUUGCAAAAUAAAGAAUAAAAUUUUUUUAUAAUAUGCCUUCAAUAAUAAUAAAUAUUUUUAUUUUAUAUAUUUAUUUUAAAAGGUGAUAUAUAUUUUCAAUGUAAAAUUUUUAAAGAUGGUUUUUUUUCUUUUGGAAAAAAAAAGCAAGGCACUGGCGGAGAUCUCUAGACUCUUUUUUUUUUUCUAAUAAUUAUUAUUUUAUUUUAUUUUUUAAAUUACCUUCUUACACUUAAUAAAAUUACAUAUGAAUAUUUAUUUCUUAGACCAUUAUAUUAAUCUAAUAGUUAAUAAGGCCUAAAGUCCAUGAUUUUUUUAUUUAAAUUCAUUAAUAUGAUCCAUUAAUUAUCAAACUUAUGUUUAAAAUCCAGUGCUAAGACAUUAUUAAGAGCAACAGAUAAAUAUACGAAGAUAAUAAUCUUAAUUUCAGUAGUAAUUUUCAUCUAAAAUUAUUUAAAUUUUAGUGUAUUUUUAAUUUGGUCCCUUAACUUUUAUUUUUUUUCUUUUUUAUUAUUUAUUUUCUCUUUUUUUUUUCUUUUUCUUUUUUAUGUAUUUACUCAUACAAUCUAUUAAUUAUUUAUUAUUUUAUUUUAAUAAUUUAAAAUGAUAAAUUAUAAAAAAUAAAAUAAAAUAAAAUACAACCAAUAUUAUNNNNNNNNNNNNNNNNNNNAUAUAUAUAUAUAUAUAUAUAUAUAUAUAUAUAUCCUUUGACUAGUAACUAAACUAUAUAAUUAGAUAAGUUUUCCUCUGUAAUUUUUCUGUGACUUGAUGCUCUCAUCUUUUCCUCUUCUUAAAUCUAACUUCUUAUUUUCCCUUCUCUCAUGGAAAACGAUCUGCGUUAAUUGACUAUCGAAGAAGCUCAUCUCGUCAAAGGUCAGGAUAGCAGAAAGUAAUGAUCGUCCUGUGUUGAAAUUGCCGAGGACUCGGCAAUUCUCAGACAGUUAAUGCAUUGAAGGAUUUGGUUACUAGUUACAAGCCGGUCAUUUUAUUUUUUAUCGAAACAAAAUCUCUUAGUUCUCGUAUGAAAUUUUUUCAUAGUUUUUUACAAUUUAAUGGUUGCUUCUCAGUCAAUAGAAAAGGAUUUGGAGGAGACCUUUCGUUAAUGUGGAAGAGUCAUGUACUUGUUUCUGUGAUUGGUUUUUCUUCAAAUUUUAUUGAUUCGGUUGUUUUGCAAGAUAAUGUCCAAUGAAGGUUUACUAGUUAUUAUGGGUUUCCGGAAUCGCAACGACGACAUCAGUCUUGAAAUCUUAUUCGAGCUUUAUCUCGUAGAAGCUUUCUUCUGUGGCUUUAUUCAGGAGACUUUAAUGAUUUAUGCUCGAGAGAUGAGAAAGAAGGAUGAGCAACUUUGCCAAAUUAUCUUAUGCAGGUGUUUAGACAGGCACUUGAGGACAUUAAUCUUGUUCAAAUACCCACUGUUGGCUCUUUCUUCACAUGGGAGAAGGGCAGGGAGUCGAAUAAUCUAGGUAGAGAGAAGCUUGAUAGAGCCCUUGCUACUGAGGACUGGGCUCGUAAAUUCACUAAUGUUGUCUGCUUGGUUGUUCAUGUUUCUAGAUCGGAUCACAAACCGUUGGUGAUUAAUACAACUCCUAAGGAUAAUAGGGGAGACAGAAGGAGAUUUCGAUUUGAUAAUGCAUGGUUAUGUGAUGAGGGUCUGGCUGAGGUUGUUAAAGGAGCUUGGGUUAAUUCUAUACCAUACAACCUUUUGAUGAAACGUGAUGAUUUAGUUUCUGCUCUUUCGUUGUGGGGUAGGAGUAGAAAUAGAGAGUUUUGGCAAAAGAAGAAGACUAUACAUAGAUUAUUGGAUAAUGGGACCAGUACUGUUUCUCACGCCUCUUUAAAGGAAGAUUGAAAUCAUUUCCUUGAGCAGGAAGAAGCUAGACUUAAAGAACAGGCAAAGUGCUUUUGGAUUAAAAAUGGGGACCGAAAUACAAAAUUUUUUCAUGCAUAAAUUAAUGGUAGAUGAAGAAUGAAUCGUAUUACUAAAUUAAAGGAGUCAUCGGGUACCUGGAUUGAGGAUGAGCAGAAAAUUAAAAAUCAUGUUCUGGAUUAUUUCUAGUCUAUAUUUUAUAGCAGUUCUGUGGAUUGUGAACGGGUUUUUGAGUUGGUGCCGCCCUUUACUAGUGAUGCCAAUAAUACUGAUCAUUGUGCUCCCUUUCAAAUGAGGAAUUUAGAGCUGCUCUUUUUCAGAUGCAUCCAGACAAGGCACCUGGGCCGGAUGUGUUAAAUCAUGCAUUUUACCAGAGAUUUUGGCACUUGAUUAGCAAUGAUGUUUUCAAUGGUUGUUGCCUAUGGCUUCAACAAGGUAUUUUUCCUUCUUCUCUUACUAAAACAUUGAUUGUUUUGAUCCCUAAAGUGGAUAGCCCUGAAACUGUUAAAAACUUUCGUCCAAUUGCGUUAUGUAAUGUGUGAUAUAAGAUUGUGGCUAAAGCUUUGGCAAACAGAUUUAAAAGGGUCCUUCCUAUGAUUAUCUCUGAGAAUCAGUCUGCCUUUAUCCCUCAUCGAUUGAUUAUCGAUAAUGUUAUGGUUGCGUUUGAAAUGAUACACAAUAUGAAAAUUAAUAAGGGCAGAAAUGAUGGUAAUUUUGCACUUAAAAUUGAUAUUUCUAAGGCUUAUGAUAUGGUAGAGUGGGAGUUUCUAAAAGGCAUGCUGGAACGAUUUGGUUAUUCUACUCAAUGGAUUAGGUGGUUGACUAUGUACUUUUCGGAAGUUUCUUACAAAAUCAAUUUUAAUGGUGAUUGGAUUGGUCCUAUUAUGCCUGGUAAAGGUCUUCGACAGGGGGAUCCUAUUUCCCCGUAUCUCUAUUUGGUGUGUGCGGAAGGCUUAUCAUUACUACUUAGAGAUGCUGAAUCUAGAGGCUAGUUGCAGGGCUAUAGGGCAGGUGCUAGAUGCCCAAAGAUCUCACAUUUAUUUUUUGCAGAUGAUUCUCUACUAUUUUUUAAUGCUAGACUGGAGAAACCACAUACUAUUAAAUAUAUUCUCAAUACCUAUGUGGCUACUUCUAGUCAAGUGGUGAACUUCAACAAAUCUGGCAUUUUCUUCAGUCCCAAUGUGGUAUCCUCUGUAAGGUCUAAUAUCAGUAAUAUCCUGGAUGUUCAUUUCCCAUUGAGUCAUAGUGCCUAUCUGGGGUUACCUUCUCUUAUUGGGAGGAACAAAAAACUAAUUUUUGGUUUUCAAAAAGAAAGAAUGUGGAAGAUGAUUAAUUCAUGGAGCAGCAAAUUCCUAUCUAGAGCGGUAAGGUCUAAUAUCAGUAAUAUCCUGGAUGUUCAUUUACCAUUGAGUCAUAGUGCCUAUCUGGGGUUACCUUCUCUUAUUAGGAGGAACAAAAAACUAAUUUUUGGUUUUCUAAAAGAAAGAAUGUGGAAUAUGAUUAAUUCAUGGAGCAGCAAAUUCCUAUCUAGAGCAGGCAGGGAGGUUCUCAUAAAAUCUGUAUUGCAGGCUAUACCUGCAUAUUGCAUGAAUAAUUUUUUGAUUUCCAUUACUAUUUUGAAUGAAUUGCAUAGAAUGGUCAAUGACUUUUAGUGGGAGGGUAAAAGAGAAGGGCGAAGGGGUAUUAAUUGACUAGCGUAGGAGAAGAUGUGUAGUAGAAAGAAUGAGGGGGGUAUGGGGUUUCGGGACUUUAGGAGUUUUAAUUUGUCUUUACUUGGCAAACAACUGUGGAGGUUCUUAAAAAAUCCUAAUACUCUUUGUUAUAAAGUGUUUAAAGCAAAGUACUUCCCAAAUGGUGAUUUAUUUUCCGCCAAUAUAAGUAAUGGUGCUAGUUUUAUUUGGAAAAGUGUGAUGGCAUCAAGGGAGUUGAUUCGAAGGGGUACAAGGUGGAGGGUGGGUAAUGGAGAGAAGAUUUUAGUGGCUUCAGCUUCCUGGAUUCCUAAGGAGGAUACCUUUUUUGCAUAUGUGGGCCCCGAUUUUAUUGAAUCACAUUUGCGUGUUUGUGAUCUUUUUGAAGGUAAUGGGAGGGUUUGGAACAUUGCUCUUUUAAUAAAGCUUUUUUCUUCAAGAGAUAUCAGGGCUAUUAUUAGUAUUUGAUAGAGCAUAAUUUAGUCCAUUUUAUUAUGAUAUUAUUAAGGUUCAUUUAUACUUUUUCUGCCUAAUUUUGUGAUUUUAAUCUUAUUUUGCAGAAAAUGGCGUAAAGAGACAAUUUGGUGAAAAUGCCCCUAAAAUUGCCUGAAAUGGAGCAAAGGAGAGCAAGCAUGCUAAGUGCAACUUGAAAGGAUCCAAAUAAGGAAAGUAAUUUGAAAUUCAAAUUUCAAAUUCUUAAGAGAAUUCAAAAUUCAAAAUCAAGAUUCAGCUCAUUAAGGAAAGUGCUAAAUAAGGAAAGUGGCAAAUAAGGAAAGUGGCAAAUAAGGAAAGUGCAGUCAACAGAGCAGUUUGAAAUUCAAGAUCUUCAAGAAUCCUUUUCCUUAUUAAAGAAGCCAAAUCUUAUGAAGAUGCACAUUCAAAUUUGAAAUUCAAAUUCAGCUUGUCAAGGAAGCUAAAGAAGACACACAUGUCACCUCAAGUCUUGCACAUUCAAAAUUCAAAAUUCAAAGGGAGGCUUCACCUCAUCAUGUGCAAGGUUGGGUGGCAAGGCAAGACUUGGGCAGCAACUAGAGCAACACUCAAACACUAUAUAAAGACCAUCAAGGGGCUGCCGCACACCCUUCUUCUCCCAUCUAUCCCAUUCAGCGCACCAUCCCUUUGCAAGACAAGGCUUCGGCCACUCUUCUCCCUUCUUCUUUUCUUUUUUUUUUUCUUUUUUUUGUUUUUGGUUUUGUUUCAGCCAUGAGUGCCUGAAACCUUUAAUUCUAAUUGAAGAUUGGUUGAAACUUUGAUUGUUUUAUGGAUUGUGAGAUCUGAACAUACAUUGUUAUCUUUGGUUUAUUCAAUAUUUGUGCAAUUUCGUGCUUAAUUCCAUUAUUGCUUUGUUAUUAUGAUCAAUGUGGCCACUUGACUCUUGAUUGCAAGGUAAUAUAUUAUUAGUUUGAAUAAUUUUGAGUCCGUAAUUGCUUGUAUUGUUCAAACACAAGAACACUUGUGUAAAAACUAAGGAAGUUGCAUAAUCUAGCAAUAUCACCAUAUAUUUGGAUAGUUAGGAUUAGAUCUCUCUAUUUCUUAAUGCAAUUGACAGUUAUUUUGAUGCCUAAGACCCAAGGACGUUCCUUGGCAACUUGUUGAUUAGUGAUUAAUUAGAGGACAUUUCCUAAUUGGUUUAUAAUUAAGGAGAGACAUGGUGGUGAGAAGCGUUUUCCAUCUCCAUAACUAAUCUAUUGAAUCAAUCAAAAGAACCUAAGUUUUAAUGAUCAAUCCCAACAACUAAAGUGGAUCCAAUUCUUCACCUGGAGCUUUCUCAUUAUUGAUUUCCUUUAUUUUAAUUAUUUGCCUUCUUUUAUUGCUUUCUUUAUUAGUUUAACUGAAUCAAUCUCAAAACCCCCAUUUUACUUUACUUGCAAUUUACUUUUACUUUGCUUUCAGUUUCUUUGCUUUUAGUUAAUUCUCUUGGUCUUGAUAAGGAAGAUAGGUAAGUUUUCAAUUCCCUGUGGAUUCGAUCCUUUUACCACUAUCUACAGUUGUAAGAUUGUUGAUAAUCAGAAAGGUUAUUUUUGAAUGGCUUCGACAACCGCGAGUCAAAAAUUGGCAUUGUUGCCGGGAAAUUGAUUUAACUAAUCUAUUUUUCUUUCAUGACCAAAUCUGAUCAAAGCACCACCGAACCUCCACAGAAGAGCAUGCCAUCGCAGAACUGAUUCAUGGAUAAGAUAAGUACAUCUAUUCUCUAUUCUCAACUUUCUGAACUAACCUCUGCUGUGAAAAGUUAUGUCAUAGGUCAAGCUCAACAACUUCAACAAUCUCAGUUAUGUGGGAUUUGCGCACAUAUAGGACACCCAACUGAUCAAUGUCCUAUACUUUAUGAGGAUGACCAACCAGUGCAUAUAUUUGGAGGAUUCAAUAGUCAGUUUAGACAUAUAUUUGGAGGAUUCUAUGAAUAGCCAAGACAUGAUCCAUACUAUAACACAUACAAUCCAGAUUGGGGAGCCUAUCCAGACUUCAGUUAUGCAGGGGCUAACAACUACCAAAAUUAUCAAGGAUAUCAAGCCCAACCAGUACCUCCAAGUUCCAAUACUAGUCUUGAUGAGGUGGUGAAGACUUUGCAAAGCCUCCAACAGCAGAUAGAUCAAAUGGCCACUUCAGUGAGCAAGCUUGAAUCUCAGUGGGAGUUGUCAUCGUAAACAGAGGUGAAUCCCAAACAAAUUGUAAGUGCAACCAUGUUAAGAAGUGAGGAAGAGUUUCAAGAUGUAGAGGCUGAUGAUGGAAGUUCGCAAAUACAAGAUGUAGAGCUUCAACAUUGCAUAGAAAUACCACUGCUACUUUAUAUCAGGGCAAGAACUUGUUUUAUUUCUCUAACCCUGCUCGUGAUCCUGAAACCAUUCCUCUCCAAAUUCGUGCGUCAUCUUUAAGUUUGGACAAUUUCAGUUGGUUUUGUCAAGUUGAUGGGACUUCGUUUCAAGCUCAAGAUUUUAUUGGCUACGUUUUUGUUGUGGAAAACUCUGAGGGUAUAUUUUAACAUGGUGUUUUUUGUUUCUCGAAAGGUAAUGGUACGCCGAUAAUUGUUGAACCUUUAGCUCUCCGUCACUGUUUGCUCUUUGUGACAGAAUUUUUGUCUUUGAAUGGCUACAUUCUUAUGGACUGUUUGCAAGUAGUUCAAACUCUUCAGUCUACACAUUUAAACAUUUUUAAACUGGGUUUGAUUUUAAAUGAUUGUAAAUCUAUGUUAAACUCUAGAACUGAUAUUUCUGUUAGAUGGGUUCGUCGUUGAUGAUCUGAGAUCCAAUAGAAUAGGGUUUUACAAGGGUUCUUGUAUUAGGGAAAAUAAAGCUUAAACAUUCUGAGGGGGGGACUCCCCUUUUAUCCAUUUCGUCUUGCUUGCUGGUGACGUGUAAAGGUCUCUCUAGGAUUGGGCCACGCGUCUCUGCCAUACAGAUUCGGGCGUACGAGGGUAUCAGGCGCCUGCCCCAUGCGUAACGGCCCCUGAUUCUCCCUGGGUGUACGUUCAAACGGAUCUGCCAGGCUGUCCGGUGAGUAUCAUUCUGGAUACUGGGUCGGGCCGAGAAUUGGGCCAGAGGGGAAAGGGCCUGCUUCGCACGGACUGAGCCAAUCUGGGUGAGGAGGCUUGAUCGAGCCUGGCCUUGGAAGUUGGAUGAGCCGGACCUGCUUUGGGUGCCAAGUACGUGGGCCUUUACUUAGUGGGCUUUAGGUUGUGGUCGAGGCCCUGGACCGGGAUGAAGGAAUCCAGCGGUCAUCAAUUGCCCCUUCACCUUCUCGGUAGUUAUUGCUCUGACUGCCGAGGGGGUGAAUAUCGAGAACCAUUAUGACCACGUCUGUUCGCGUUCAGAUGCCUUCAUAACUCCCUUUCAUCUUUUUGUCAUUCCUCAUUUCUUGAAUUCUAUCUGCCUCUUUCCCUUUCUGGUCUUUCCUUACCUCUCAAGUACUCUGCUCUUCUUUACUUUCUUGUCAUUAUUGCCUGGGUGCGCUUCUUUUUCCUUUUCCAUGAAUAUCUGUUAAGGAUCCUGACCUUGUGGUCUUAGGGUCUAGAGUUACUUUGCGCUAAGACUUCAGAUUUCGAGUAUAUAUCAGUGUGGACUCUUCUUCACUUCUAGGCCCUUUGUCGAAGAAAAGGAGUCUUUCCUUCCAGCGAGAUUCUCCUGUUUUUUCCGCAAAGGAUGUAUUUGACGUUUUCUUCACACAGAUUAAGGUGAGCCAGAGGCUUCAUUGCUUUGUUGCCCCAGGGAUUUGCUUUUACCUCGCUUUCUUUGUUUUAACAAAAAAUUACCCUGACCUCUCUAUUUGGAAUUUUUUGCAGUACCUGAGAUAAAGAUGGGUCAGUCCAAAACUCUUAAAAAUCUGAUAUUACCUCGAGGGAGUCUGAAUGUUGCUUCUGAGGUCCUUCUAGUAGGGCGGUUGGCGGGUGGAGUCGUUCGGCGGGUCGUUGAAACUGUUUUAUCCAGAUCGUCUGGCUGGCCUCCCCCUUUGGUUGUUGUUUGGGCUUCAAGGAGGCUAUGGGCUGUUAGGAGGUCUGUUUUGACUUUAUCUUCCUUCAAGAAGGAAAUUUCCCCGAUGUCCAUGUUGUCUUCUUUUGAUAUAAAUGGAAGUGGCGAAAAUGAUCAAUUUAUUACCCCCUCUGGUGUGAAGUACCCGUAUUAUGAAAGGCUGAGAUCUGCUGCACUCAGUCAAGCUUUCGGCGAUGCCUUCGAAUAUAUGCUCUGCGAUCUUCUUGAGGCCGUAACUCGAAGACUUAUGUUUUUCAUGCGCGACAUCCGGACAACAUAUAAUAUCUGAGCUUGUUCGGAUGUACCGCGCAUCACAUUUGGGCAACCGAAUGUUUGUCCAUAGGGGAACAGUGAGAAAUGCUUAUGGGAAUCAACUUGUUCAGUUCUCCUAUAAUAACGACGCAGGGUUCGGCCGACCUACUGAGCUCGUUUCCCGUAUUCAAGAGUUCCUCUGUGUCGAAGACUAGGAUAAUGAUAGGUGAUAAUGAUGUAAACGUAGACGAUGUAUCUGAUCAUGUAAAUCCUCUAAGGAUAGCUUUUUGUUCUGUAAUGCGAGUAUUUGUAACGCGCUGUAAUGAAACUUUCGUUUUAACGAAAUUCUUGUUUUUCGUUCAUACUUGAGCUGUUCUUUCUUUGUCGUGGAUGAAGUACUGAGACUGCUUUCUUUGUAGUUGUAUCCAACUAAAUUUUGUUUUGCUUUUUUCGAGCUGGACUGACCAUAUUCGUGAGCUUUUGCUUUUAAUCGAUGAGCUGAGCUCCGGACUCACUUAGCCAACUGAGCUUUCGGUUAACUUUUUCCGAACUAGAAUAUCCGACCUGUGAGCUUUGUCCUUGCUCGAUGAAUUGAGCUUUGAGUCUCCUUAGCCAACUGAGCUCUCAAGUUAUGUUCCCCGGGUUGGACCAAUCGACCUGUGAGCUUUGUCUUUUAUUCAUGAGUUGGACUCUGAGCCCUCAGCUCUGUACAAUUCCAGAGUGCCCUCAUUGCUUAUUUCCGAUCUCGUAGCCUUUGUUUAAUAAUGAUAAGUCAAAUUUAUAACUUUUUAAGUGGUGGGCAGGUAUGACCUUUAUCAUGCUUCCUCCUGUUUGUCUCCUUGGGCUUUUCUAUGACUUAUUCUUUUUCCUUGGUUUUUACUGCCUGAGCGGUGAUGACGUGCAUUUUGCGCGUCAGAUCGUCCUGAGGGAGGGAUUCGACUGGAGCUCGGUUUUAGAGUUUUGACAACUUGUUUAUCUUAUGCGAAUAGCGUGCUGGCCUUCAGCUGAUGGGUCGUUGUCGUGGGCCUGGCCCUUUGUAGAGGUGGAGAAGCCCAGCGGUCAUCUCCUUGCCCCUUUACCUUCUCGCUGGUUACCAUCUAACCGUUGAGAGGGUAAACUUCGAGAGCAAUUAAUGAUCGCGCCACUCCAAGACAAAACUGCUCAGAACAAAGUUUCAUCUCAUUAUUGCCUUUCCCUUUGAAUUCUCCCUGUCUUCUCAAGAAACUCGCUCUCUUCUGCUCUCUGUUUUCCUGCAACUUCUUCUGUUUCUUCCAUCUUAUUGUGCUUUCAGGUACGCUUCUUUGCUCUUCUAUGGAGGGUCCGAAGCUCCCCGAUGUCGUUAAUAUUAGGUCGCAUAUUACUUCUUCCAACAUAACUAAGCACAUUUCCCAGAGGCUCUUAGAUACUCCACUGUAUCUUAUUCGAGCGCCUUUUCAAAACAAAAGGAUAGUCCUUCCUAACCCUCCUCCUCCUGGUUUGAUUGAUCCCUAAAGGGGUCGCUGUAUAGUGUUCUUUCUCAAACAGAGGGAUUUCAGUCUACCGUUUCCUUUUACCCCUUUCUUUAUUGAGGUUUUCGAGUACUUCGGGGUAACCCCUCGGAUGUUAUCCCCAAAUUCUAUUUUGUUUUUGUCCUGUUUUGAGUCUAUCUGCCUGAGUUAGGGUUUUACCCCCACAGCGUGUCUGUUUGUCACUUUUUUUUGUCUGGUUAGGGCAGUUCAGAAUUUUUAUUACUUUUCCCCCCGUACUGGGUUGUCUCUUUUCACGGGCUACAAGGAUUCCAUAAAGGGAUGGGUAGAGAAUUUCAUUGUGGUGGAGCUGAAAUUAGAGUCCGCCCGAUCGUGGGAGGUGGAUCUAAGUUGGGAGGAGGUCCACCCGGGUUGCAACGAGCUACCCCAAUUGAGCCUUAUUGAGCAGGUGGGGUUGCUUCGACUGACUUCCGUUGAAAGGAAGUAUGACGUCGAGAAGUAUGACGUCGAGAAGUGUAUGUUCGUGUCCAAUCUUAGGGAUGUCCGGGACACGGGUAUAUUGCUUUGUCUAGCAAUUCUGUUUCUUCUUUGCUCAUGAUAUCAGAAAGUAUACUGACUCUUUAUGAUUUCGUGUUUUUUGCAGCUUCUGAGGUUAAAAUGGAUGACAUCAAGUUCCCCAAGAACUUUGUCCUGUCUCGGGAUAAUAUGCACGCAGUUUUCGACGCUUUUUCGGCUGGGCGUUCGGUGUCUGUGGCUGCUGCGGAGGUGGUUCAAGCUGUUUCCUCCAAAAAGAUUAACCGACCUCCUGCCAAGGCUUCUUCUCAAGCUUCUAAACCAAGCUCUCGUGGUGCCAAAUCACGUCGGCCAUCUAGCCGUGGUGGGUCGAGCUCAACUUUUAAGCCCGCUGAAGGGUCUAAAUCUACUUCGGCUUCCUCAGAGGGUGCGAGGGGAACCUCCCUAGCCAUUAUGGAGCAGACCCAAGUCGUUGAACAAGUGGAGUCGGGUCUUGUCCAUUCUCCUGAAGGGGUGUCAGGGGAAAAUCUAAGUCCCCCGUUACUGAAGACAAGGAGGCCGCUGGGACAGGGAUGGAGAUCAUCCUCAUAGAGGACCAAGUCCCAGACGUUCCUAUCCAAAAUGCCCCUGCCUCUGUGGGGACUGGGCCUGAGGAUUCUAAAGGCAUUCCACUAAAGACCGGGGAUAAGCGCCCAGCCCCUUCCGGAACAUCUUCCCCAUCUCCUGCUCGGAAGAAAUCCAGGGCUGCCACAGGAUCUUCUCCAGCUCUUCCUCCCAUUGGGAAGGGGAAAGGUGUUCCUGCCACGCCUUUGUUGUCUUCUUCUGGCAACGUUCUAAAUGCGUCGGACAUUACCUCUGAGUCUCCGGCCAGUGCUGUUGCCGAACUUCUUAGAGAGCGAAUGUUUGGCGGGAUUAUCGAGGCCUCUGAUUCGCGUCUUUUUGCCCUGACUGGUCUCUUAGCCAGUUUUACCAAGGAACAAGCGUCCUUUCGGUCUCGCUCUCGGGAGGAGCUCGGAUCGACAAUUAGGGAGAUGCUUCUGAUGGUAAAUUACUUUUCCACUUCUCUUUUAGUUUGCUUUAUUUCUUCCUCUUGACGAUUGUUAUUCCGUGCUAGGUGACGGGCCUCUUUAUGGAGGUGGAUGCUCGUGAUUACUCCUUUCGGGAGUCUGUAGACCGUCGGAUUGAAGAGGCACGUCUGGAUGAAAAUUUGUCUGCCACUAGUGACGCCAGGGGUAACCUUGCAGCGACUCGGGAGCAUACCUAGUCCCUCCAGGUAGAGUUACACUCUGCGCUGGAGGUCAUUAAAAAGGCUGAGGAGAAGGCAGCUGAGACAGCAGAGCACACCAAGUCUUUAGAAGCAGAGCUGUCUCAUGCUCGCAAGGUCCUCAAGGAGUCUGAUGAGAGAGCAGCUGCCGUGGAGGCUCGUUGUGCAGAAGUUUUAAAGCAGCUGUCCUCUAUGACGGAGGUCCUUCGAGAGAGAGAUGAGGCUGUGAACCAGAAAACUGAGAUCCAGCGUCAAUAUGAGGCCUUAAAGGCUGAUUCUGAAGGACUUCAGGUUCACCUGGAGGAGGUGAAAACUCAGAAGGAAGGGGCCCUAGCUCGGGUGGAGGUCCUUGAGCAGGAGUUGAGUACGAGCUCUGAUCGUAUCAGGGACCUGGCUUCGUUGGCUGAAGAGUUUAACCUUCGCCACCAACAGCUCAACCAUGAAGUCAGGACCUUGGAACGUAAGUGUUCAGCCCUGCUCAAGGUAGUAAAGCAUGUUGAGGACAGGGCUCAGCUAGAGCGUGAGCGAUGUAUAGCGGAGUAUGAGGAGUCUGAUGAACUGAAGAGGAAGAUCGAUCAGGCCUGUGAGGUUCACCUUCAGGACUACAAAGAUUCCUCUGAAUUGAAGGCAUUUGUAGCUGAGGCUUGUGAAGCACAUCUGGAUGAAUACAAAGCUUCCGCUGAGAUGGGGUCGGCUAUUUUUAAGAAAGCCUUCCGUAUGUACGUAACCGGUUACAAUCGUGGUUUGAGGGAGGCUAGACACGCUCCUGAUGUUCCUUUGGAAAAGCUUCAUAAGCCUGAAUUGGACUCGGAUGGCGAGCCGGUGUUAUAUGGGGAAGAUGAUUUCCCUAUGCCCCGAGGGGAUUGUCGCGUCGUAGGCCGGCGACCAUCUGUGUCUUCUUCAGAAGAAUCCGAGCCAGAGGGGGAGGACGAGGAAGUUCUUGGGUCAGAGGGAGAUGUCCCUAAUUCUGAGAAGGAGGACCCCCACCUAGAGUUAGAGAUUGCCCCUGUUGUUAAUGUUGAGAGGCCUGAGCCAAAGGAGGUCGUGCUUCCUCCAGAUAUAGUUGUAAAUAAAGAUAGUGUAGGCGAGGAUGUUCUUACAGAUGUGAGUCCUUUAAGGACUAUUUUUCCUUCCACCUCGUCCGAAGAUAAAUUGUAACAGCUAUUUGAAUGAAACUUUGAUUCCUUUUUCUGGAAAUAUUCUCAUUUAUAAGCUCUUUUUCCACUGAAUCAGUCUUAAGUUGUGAGCUCAGUUCUUGGCUAAUUAUCUGAGAGAUCAAAUCUCAUAUCUUUUAAUGGCGACUAGCAUGUUUUGACUUCGGAUGCUUGUGCUAAACAAACUGAUUUGGGCUUUGAGUAUAGCCUUUUUACCUUCAUUUAUCUUCCUGCUGGUUUCUUCGUUUAUGAGCCUUUUUAUAGAGGGAGCUCGGCUUUGCGCUCGGCCUUUAUACUUCGAGCAUUAGGGUUCAGGACUAUCCGAACUGGGAGCUCGGUCUUUUCUUCUUACCCAGGCUUUAAGUAUUAGUAGUCAUUUCGAGGUCGGUGUUUUUUAGCUGUCAUGCCCCGAACCUUUUCAAGAGGUCGGAACCCCUUUGGAAGGUCGGAAUCUGGUUUUUGCUUGAUAGCCUUGAGUCCUUCUUUUUUGUGAAAUUGGAACAGUAUUUUUAUAAGUUGUCCCUGCAUAUGAUAUGAGAAGUUUGUACUUCGGGAGGUUUUUGGGACCUUCACCGACCGUUCUUGUUUUGUUUUUCCGGGAGUUCUUAGGGGAUCUCGGUUUUCAUGCUCUGGGAGGUCCUUUAAGAUCCUCACCUGCCAUUUUUGUUCCGGGGUGACCUCGGGGCCCCGCCGGCUGUAUUUUGCGCCAGGAGAUCUUACGGGAUCCUGGUUAUUUUUGCUCCGGGGUGACCUCGGGGCCCCGCCGGUUGUCUUUUGCUUCAGGAGAUCUUACGGGAUCCUGAUAUUUUUUGUUCCGGGGUGACCUCGGGGCCCCGCCGGUUGCUUUUGCGCCAGGAGAUCUUACGGGAUCCUGGUUGUUUUUAUACCUUCUUAAGGUUUUGCACAAUAUUCAGGCACAUUGGCCUUACUGUCGCUUCGCUAUCUCAGCUGGUUUUGUGUCUAUUUGAGGUCUUGUUUUUCACGGAGGAGUAUUAUUCACAAAGAUAAUCACAUUGUAUAAACAAUUUUAUUCACUCAUGUGUGUCAGAAUACAAUGUUUUUUCUUUACAAAUAUAUUAGGGGAAAUACCUCUUUAAGUGCUGGAUGUUCCAAGCGUGGGGCUCAGGGUUUCCUUGCAUAUCUUCGAUCCUGUAUACCCCUGUCUUGACCACUUUUAUUACUCUGAAUGGACCUUCCCAGGUCGGUGCUAACUUGCCCGCGGCCGCUCUUUUCCCUGUAGCCUCUAGGUUUCUUAAUGCCAGGUCUCCCACUUUCAAGCUUCUCUCUCUAACCUUUUGGUUGUAAUAUCGUGCUGCCCGUUGUUGAUAAGCAGCAGUUCGGAUUUGGGCUUCUUCCCUAACUUCUUCAAGAGCAUCUAGGUUGCUUCUUAACUUGUCCCCAUUAGUGUCUUCACUAACGAAUUGGACUCGAUGAGUGGGAAUCUACAACUCGACUGGGACUACUGCCUCCGUGCCAUAAGCAAGUGCAAAGGGUGUUUCUUUAGUGGGUGCUCUGGGAGUGGUUCGGAGUGCCCACAAGAUACUGUUGAGUUCUUCAGUCCAAUUCUCCUUUGCGCCAUCUAGCCGUUUCUUUAACCCUUGGAGGAUAGCUCUGUUAGUGACUUCUGUCUGGCCAUUAGUUUGAGGAUGGGCCACAGAGGAGAAUUUGUGCCAUAUGCCCAUGUUCGUCGUGAAGGCUCUGAAGGUACUGUAGUCAAAUUGUCUACCAUUGUCUGAGAUAAGCACUCUAGGUAUGCCGAAUCUACAGAUGAUAUGCCCCCAUACGAAAUCUAUCAUCUUGCGAGCUGUGAUUGUGGCUAUCGCUUCUGCCUCUGGCCAUUUUGAAAAGUAUUCUACAGCCACCACUACGAAUUUCCUUUGCCCCGUAGUCUUGGAGAACGGUCCCAGGAUAUCGAUUCCCCAUUGUGAGAAAGGCCAUGGACUGGAUAUGCUUGCUUGAGGAGUGGCAGGGGUUCUGAUGGCAUUAGCAAAUCUCUGACAUACGUCACACUUCCGGACAAACUCUUCUGCUUCUUUUUUAACAGUGGGCCAAUAGUAUCCUUGCCUGAAUACUUUGUUGGCCAAUGUUCCUGCUCCUUCGUGGGCUCCACACAGGCCUCUAUGUAUCUCUUCCAUUACCUUUGUAGCCUCUUUCGGGCUCACACAUCGGAGCCAUGGACUGGAUUUUCCUUUUCUGUAUAAGGUUCCCCUUAUUGCUUGGUAAUUAGCGGUACGAGCUGCUAUCUUUCUGGCUUCAUCUUUAUCUUCGGGGAGCUCGCCCUUUUCCAAGUAUCUCAGGUAUGGGGUCAUCCAAGUUGGGCUUUGUUCUACCUGCAAUAUCGUGUCAGUUUUAUUAAAAGCAGAUGUAUGGACCUGUUGUAUGUAUACUUCGUCGGGAAGCUGUUCCAGUUCUUCUUUGGAUAAUCGGCUGAGCAGAUCUGCUUCCUCAUUUUCCUCUCGGGGUAUUCUUUGAAACCUGAUGGUUACUCCUCGACCCAUGAGCUCGGCUUCCAAAGUUUUUACUUUAUCAAGGUAGUUCUGCAUGACGGGGUCCCUAGCCUGAUAAACUCCCGUCACCUGGUUGAUCACUAGUUGAGAGUCGCUAUUCACCUCGAGAUCGGUUACCCCUACCUCCAAAGCUACCAACAUUCCAUUCACCAGGGCUUCAUAGUCUGCUACAUUAUUCGAGGCUUUGAACUCUAGACGUAGGGCGUAACACACCUUAAACUCCUCUAGCCCUUUGAGCAUUAUUCCGGCGCCAUUGCCCUCAGUGCUUGAUGCUCCGUCUACAUACAGCUUCCAGUUAAAUUCUGGAUGAGCUCCCCCUCACAUUGCUGUCUUGCUGUCCCUGAGGAUGAUCCUCCUUGCACCUCGUUGAAUGAGCACUCUGCUAUGAAGUCAGCCAAAGCUUGGGAUUUUAUAGCUGUCCUGGGUCGAUAUUCUAGAUAGUAAGGGCUGAUCUCGACGGACCAAGCCAACAUCCGACCUGAAGUUUCUGGCCUGCGUAGAAUCUUCUUUAAGGGUUGGUUUGUCAUCACAACUCCUUGGUGACCCUCCAAGUAAACCUUGAAUUUUCGAACUGCUAGCAAUAGGGCGUAAGCCAUUUUUUCAAUGUUUGAAUAUCUGACCUCGGUAUCUCUGAGUACCUUGCUGACGUAAAAAAUGGGUUUUUGCUCCCCCUCUUCCACCCUUACUAACACUGCGCUGACUGCUUGUUCUGAGGCCGCCAAGUAUAUCAGAAGUUCCUCUCCUUUUACAGGGCUGCUGAGUACAUGGGGCGAGCUAAGAUAUUUCUUAAGCUCUGUGAAGGCUUUUUUGCAGUCUUCCGUCCACUCGAAGUUCGGUACUUUCCUCAACUUUUGGAAGAACGGCAAUCACUUUUCUGCCGAUCUGGACAUGAAUCGGUUGAGCGCCACUACUCUCCCAGUUAGUCUCUGGACGUCUCUUACACAGGUCGGCUCUAGCAUUUUUAAUAUGGCUUCCACCUUCUCCGGAUUAGGCUCGAUGCCUUUUCCGCUUACCAUGAAUCCCAGGAAUUUUCCUCCUCGAAUAAAGAAAGCACACUUUGUUGGGUUCAACUUCAUUCUAUACCGGUUUAAUACCCCGAAUACUUCCCUCAAGUCUGCCAUGUGCUGUUGAAAGUUUGGGCUUUUGACCACCAUGUCAUCUACAUAAACUUCUACAUUCCUGCCAAUCUGAUUUUUGAAGAUUUUAUUCAUCAAUCUUUGGUACGUUGCCCCGGCAUUCCUCAAUCCGAAUGGCAUAGCUCUGUAGCAAUAAGUCCCAUCUUCAGUUAUAAACGAGGUCUUUUCCUCAGAAGACAUAUAAUCAAAACCGGCCGUAGAGUCGACCAUUUUAUUAAUAUCAGGCAGUGGAUAACAAUCUUUAGGGCAGGCCUUGUUUAGGUCAGUAAAAUCUAUGCACAUCCUAUAUUUGCCAUUGGCUUUUUUGACUAAUACAGGAUUUGCUAACCACUGUGGGUACAUAACCUCCCUAAUGAAACCUGCCUCCUCGAGUUUCUGCACCUCUUCCCUGGUGGCCUGCUGCUUCUCUCUUCCUACCACUCUCUUUUUCUGUUUUACUGGCUUGGCCUCGGGGAGUACAUUCAGCUUGUGUGUCAUUACCGUGGGGUCAAUUCCAGGCAUGUCGGAGGGCUUCCAGGCGAAACUAGACGCAUGACCUCGGAUCAGGGCCAUGACUUCAACUUUCUGUUCUUUAGUGAGGCCGGCGUUGAGACUAAAGACCUUUUCUAUCUCUGCUUUUGAUAAAGGGAAGGUCUCCAGCUCCCCCACCGGUUCUGUCCUGGCCUCUGUUUUCUCAUCUCGAACCUCUAGGACUUCCGAGUCAAGAGCUUCUCCAGUGGAGCUCGGUUCUGCUACUGUGGCCAAGUAUACUGCUCUUGCCUCUUCCUGGCUGCCCCGGACUAUUCCCACUCCUUCUUCUGUUGGAAAUUUGAGCACCAAAUACCCGAUACUGGUGACUGCUUCGAAAUUGAACAGCGCAGGCCUCCCCAAGAUCACAUUAUAGCUUAACGGAAGUUUGACCACUAAAAAUACCUCAUGGUGAGUACGAGUUCUGGGUGCUUCGCCCAAGGUGAGAGCCAGCUUCACCUUCCCUUCUACGACCACCGGUACCCCUCCGAUCCCCUUGAUUAGUGCUUGGUCUCGGACCAGCUGUUCCUCCGAAAUUCCCAUCUGUUGAAAAACCCGGUAUGGUAGCAAGUUGACUUUACUUCCGUCAUCCACUAAGACCUUCUUUACCCGAUAAUUGUGAAUGAUGGCCUCAAUGACGAGCGCGUCAUCAUGGGGCAUCUGGAUACCCUGGGCAUCGUCUGCAGAGAAGGUGAUUGUCAUGGGAGAGUGGUCAACGAUCUGCAUGACCUCGGUGCUGCUGGUCUCUCCCUCCCGAUUUCUCUUCUUCCCUCGGCGACCCAUUCGUCCUGCCGCUCCUCCAACAAUCAUGUUGAUGGUCCCACUGGAUCCAUCGUUCACUGGUCCAGCUCCUGUUCUCCUCGACGCCUGAACCGCGGGGCUGGAUUGAGGCCUUUGUCCCUCUGAUUUCUUUACAAAAUUCUUUAGGUGCCCCCUCUUUAUCAACCUCUCGAUCUCUACUAUCAACUAGAAGCAGUUGUUGGUAUCGUGGCCAUGCGUCCGAUGAUACUAACAGUAUUUGUCAGGAUUCCGAUGAUCUGCUUCCGACUUCAUAGGUUUGGGCCACUGGAGAAAAUCCUUAUCCUGGACAGCCAUGAGCACCUCGGCUCUGGACGCAUUUAAUGGAGUCGGCUUUUCAGGGACCCAAGGGGGAGGCAUCCUUGGCUCAAGGGCCCGUGGAGGAGGAGGCCUUUGAUCCCUUCGCUCCCAGGCCUGCUUGUAUGGCUCGGGCCUUCUGCUGUGUUUCUUUUCAUGUUUCUCUGGCCUCCUUUCUUCUGAGGCUUUUUCUUUUCCUGCCAUCCUUUUGGCAAAUCGGCUCGUUACUAAGGCGUCAUCCUGCCUUAUAUACUUCUCCGCUCUCUGCAUCAGCUCGGCCAGGGAUGUGGGAGGCUUCCUGCUCAAGGAACCGAAGAACUCGGCAGAGGUCGUUCCCUUUUGCAUUGCCUCUACCACCUUUCCUUCAUCAAGAUCGGGGAUCUGCAGGGCCUCCGUAUUGAAACGAGCGACAUACUCUCUGAGUGAUUCACCCUCUCUCUGCCUUAUUGUCUCCAAGUAGCUCGUCUUCCUCUCCGCUGGCACUCCGGCUAUAAAUCGACUGAUGAAGCGAAUGGGUAGGUCUCUGAAACUCCUGAUACUUCCAGCCUCAAGACUGUUGAACCACGCCCGCGCUGGUCCCGAGAGCGUCGUUGGGAAUACUUUACACAUUAAGGCAUCAGAUAGAGUUUGCAACUCCAUGAAGGUCUUAUAGUUCAUGACGUGCUCCCUCGGGUUACCAUUCCAUCAUAAGCCGCCAUUGAUGGCAUCAUAAACUUCUUAGGGACAGUCUCUUGCUGCACCCACUUGGAGAAAGGGGAAGAAGUAGGCAAAGAGGUUUGGCUGUGGUCUUUCUUACCUAACUCGGCGAGGAGUUGUUCUCUCAGUUUCUUCAACUUUUGGUCCACCUUCUCGUCUUUUGGGCUGAGUUUUUUCUCCAGGUGGUACUCCUCCUCCUCUGCUUCAGUUCCCGUCCACCCGGUUAUUUCAGCGGAAUAGUUAUCCACCUCCUCAUUUUCUAUCAUCUCUCUCGCCCUCCUCCCAUGGAUUCGGGCCUCCGGUCCUUCCUCUUCGCCGGCUCUUCUCCCUCUCUCUUCAGUAUCACGGCUGCUGGUUUGAAGACGGUCAGGUGCAGGUCGGGGGUCAUUGGUCUGAGGUUCCUCUACAACCAGGAGAGUAUUUGCUGGGGUGUUGAGGCCUCUCUGUUGCAUUAUCUGCCCCAACCAGUGGGCUGUGUUUUGUAACUGGAAAGCCAUGGUUUGAAGAUCUUGGUUAGACAAGGUGACAGCGGGAGUAUUUCCUGCCAAACUUGGCGAGGGAUUAAGAGGAACAGGUGUUUGGUUGUUCAAUGCCGUAGGACUAGAAAAAGAGAAUUGUUGCCCCUCUUGGGCAGAGCUUAGGUCAUUUGGGACGUUAAGGUUACUUUCUUGGUGAUUAGCCAUCGUGGAUCUCAGUGGGUUUCUUUGAGAGUGAAAACUCCGGUGAUGAAAAGAUCUCCGUCGUUUCCCACAGACGGCGCCAAUUGAUGAUCUGAGAUCCAAUAGAAUAGGGUUUUACAAGCGUUCUUGUAUUAGGGAAAAUAAAGCUUAAACAUUCUGAGGGGGGGACUCCCCUUUUAUCCAUUUCGUCUUGCUUGCUGGUGACGUGUAAAUGUCUCUCUAGGAUUGGGCCACGCAUCUCUGCCAUACAGAUUCGGGCGUACGAGGGUAUCAAGCGCCUGCCCCAUGCGUAACGGCCCCUGAUUCUCCCUGGGUGUACGUUCGAACGGAUCUGCCAGGCUGUCCGGUGAGUAUCAUUCUGGAUACUGGGUCGGGCCAAGAAUUGGGCCAGAGGGAAAAGGGCCUGCUUCGCGCGGACUGAGCCAAUCUGGGUGAGGAGGCUUGAUCGAGCCUGGCCUUGGAAGUUGGAUGAGCCGGACCUGCUUUGGGUGCCAAGUACGUGGGUCUUUACUUAGUGGGCUUUAGGUUGUGGUCGAGGCCCUGGACCGGGAUGAAGGAAUCCAGCGGUCAUCAGUCGUCAUGCUACUCUAGCUGCUCAUACUUUGGCUAGAGAAUCUAUUAGGUAUGAUCGUCUCUCUGUUUGGGAUGAUAUCCCUCUUUGUUUGAUGAAAUUUUAUUAAUAUAAUCAAUAGUUUUACUUUUAAAAAAUAUUCCUUUGACUUUAUUAAAAAAUUUCAAUAAGUGAUGAUUAUUAGAAAUGUGAUUUUAUUUUUAGAUUUUUUUUUGUUAAUUUAUAUAAGGAGUAUUGGUUUAAGAAAAAAAAAAUGAAAUUAUUCUAUCUUUAUUUUUUUCUUGUUAUGGAUGGCUGAAUAAUUUUAGGUAAUCUUAAAUUUCUCUAUUUGUUUUAUAUAUAUAUUGCAAAAUGAAGUUUAUUUUAAAUGAUGGAGAGAAAAAAAAUUUUGUAAUUGUUUUUCUUAUAAAUAAAGAGAAUAAAAAUAUAAAAUAAACAAUAGAAAAGAAUUUUAAAAAAAAUAACUUGGAAAAAGAAGUUUAAUGAAAAUUUAAUUGAAAUUUGAGAAAUUUUAAGAAAUAAAUUAAAAUUGAAUAACCAAAAUAAAAAUACAUUACAAAUUGUAAUGAUUGAUUUUAAGUGAAAAUUAUUUUAAUUUUAGUGUCAGUUAAUAAUUAUUUUAAUUAUUUUAAUUAUUUUAAUUUUACAGUAUUUGGGAGUGUAAAUAAAUUAAACUGUUUGUUAACUACUUGAGAUUCGACUCACUAAAAAUUUAACUGGAUUUGAUUUAAUUUCUAAACGAGUCACGUUCGAGUUUAACUUUCAGGUUCGUUUAGUAAAUGAGGCAAACUUGAACUCUAUAGUAUUCUAUUUAUUAAAACUUAUGAAUUUAACUCAUUUUUGAGUUUAUAAGCAGACUUGCAAAUAGGCUUAUAAACCGUUUCGUUAAGUAGACUGAAAUUAAUAUCACAAGAGAACUCGGUUCAAACCCUACAUAUAUUUGCAUGAGUUAAAUUUAAUUUUUUUUUUAAAAUUCAGCUCUACAUAAUUUAAUUAUACUCUUAAAACUUAUAAAUAUUUAAAUCAUUAAGAUUUAAGAACUAUUUUUUAUGAGUUUGCAAGUUAAUUUAUAUAUAUAUUUAUUUGAUUAAAAUUAUUUAAUUUUAAAUUAAAACUCAUUAUACAUAUAAAUAAAUUAAAAUGUUCGUAAACUAUUCAAAAUUAAACUGGAUCAAAUAUCGAUUUGUCUAAAUUUAUUUGCUAAAUAAAUUGAGGUAGAAUUUAUUAAUAUUUAGUUCGAAUUCAAAACGAGUAAAACUCGAAUUCGAUUUGAAUUCAAAAUAAUUUAACAAAUUAAAUUUAAACUCUUUAAAACUUAUUUCAACUCAAUUCGUUUAUAUUCCUAUAAGUAUUUUUUAUUGAGAUUUAGCAACGUAGUAAAGAAAAAUGGCAAAUUAAUAAAAAAAAAAUUAAUGAAGUCAUUGGAUUGUAUUUAGCUGAAAAUUUGAUUUUGGGUCUGAAAAUUAUGAAGUGAUAUAUGUGUGACAUUGGGGGAUGGAUCUAUUACAGCUUCUCCCAACUUCAAAAUUCCAUGAAAUUUACUUACCCACUAAGCUUGGAAUUAGGGGCAGGAAGAGAGACCUCCUGACUUUUUUUUUCCUUCUCCUCCGACUAUGUAACGCAUAUACACAUAGUCAAAAAUUAAAAGACCAUAUGGAUUUUAAUAAACAUACGCUUAUACACACUCUCUAAAUUAUCAAGAUUUAAAUAAUUACACGUUUAUAAAAUCUAUGUAUCAAAAGUUAAUAAUGUAAAUUUCAAUUUGCCAACUGAUUGUUUGUAUAAAGAUUAGAGUCCAAAUUAUAUAUUCGCUUCUUGUAAUAUGUGAUGGCUAUUUCAUGGGAUGCAUGUCCUUUCCAUCAUGAUACCAGUGAUAUAAAUGAUCCCAAUCCCAAAGCGGUUCGUUAGAUAGAGCCACUGCCGUGUUGCUCUGAUCACCUGCACGCUGAGGAAGAUAGCCAUCGUUGUGUUGUGAGAAUGAUGGUGAGCUUCUUCUAUCCAACAUUGGAGGGCUUUCAUGAAUUGUUCUUCCCUCUUCGCUAUGAACCUGUCGAGCACCUGACUCGCCUCUCUCUGUCGCUGAUGGCCUUCUACCAAAUGUCCGCAGGCGUUUUGCUGAUUUCUUGUAUACCCGACAAAGACUGAACUCUUUCCUUAACUGCAAAAUGUAUAAUCAUAUAAAUCAAUUGAAUUUUUGGUGAAAUUUUUUAUUUCAAGCGGGCGGAAAUAGAGAGAGAGAGAGUUAAUUUAAAUACCCUUGGAUGUGCACCAGUAGAUGAAGAACAGGAUACUGCUGCUGCUUCAGUGGCUUUAUAUUCAUUCAUUUUCCACUGAGUCUUUCUUCCAUUAGGAACUCUUCCCUUAUAAAAAGCCAUUGUUCUUAUGGCACCAAUGCAACUGUUGUUGGAAGAGUAAACAUAACCAGCAGAACCUGUUGAUUUCCAGUAUCCACAAGGAGUCAGCCUCUUUGGUUUUCCUCCUUUUGCUUCUCUUUCUUGUCUCGGAACGAAGAAGAACCAUUGUUCAGGAUCCCUCCUGCACAAUUCUCCUGAUAAUUCUAAAACCAAACAAAGCCCUAAAUCAAUUCACUAACAAAGAGAGAUCAUCAAGUUUUGUGUGUGCUCUUGGUUGCAUGAAACUUUCACUAGUGGUAAGUUCUCGAGUUUGAAUUUUAGUUGAAGCUAAUUGUAUAUACUUACGUGGAAGUUGCCAUGGAUCGAAGUCGUAUAUAUCAAGAACAGCUACAACACGAUCAAUAGCCUGGAUCAGAUCAUCCUCUCUCUUGUCUUGUAGCUUGUUAUGAAGAUAAAAAGAGAUCAACUCUUCUUCUGUUGGGUAAAAUCGAAAUCCAAUUGCCAACUCCAUAGCAAUUCUUUAUUGACAAGGACUUGGAUUUUUCCCCAAGAAGUUCAACUUUCUUUCCUAGCAAAAUAAAGAUAACACUCGGUUAUAUAGAAGAAGAGAGUGAGAGAUGGAUCAUCAAAGAAAUGGAAGACAGAAAAGAAAGCACGAAGUGAGAAUUAAGGCAAAGCCACAAGUUUCUAACUUGGACGGCAAAUGCAUAAAUAUAUAUAUUUUUUAUCAUUAUUAAUAUAUUAUUAUUUUUUUGAUACAUCAUAGAAAAUCUUGCUUUUUGGCUUAUCUUCGUGUGACCCAAUUAAUUUUUUUACAUUAAAAAAAUAGUGGUGGCAUAGAAUGUUAGAUUUGUAAUUCAAAACCCUUUUGGAAUUUUGAAGACUAUUUUUUUUCUAAUAUUACUUAAUUGGACGGAGGAUUAUUUCUUAUAUAUCAUGUAAAAUUAAUACUGUACUGAUAUUUUUAAAAUGAGAAAAACAUAUUAUUUAGAUGAGAAUCGAUAAAAUUAACAUUAUAAAUAUGAGUAUAGUAGAAAUAUUAAUCAUACUAAGGGUGAGCAGUAUUCAGUUCUGUUGAACAAUAAAAUCUGUGAAUGAUUCAGUUGUUGUGUAUUUUUUUUCGGAAAGAAUAUUAUAUAUAGAUACAUUUACAACACAAAAUCAGGAGAGAAAAAAGAAGCAAUUAUAUUCUAAGGAAACAAGAUAAACUUGUAUAGAAAACAAUAUAUAUCAGAUCUAUUAAUUGUGCAAAUCCCAAGAUUACGUAAUCUACUCCUAAUUAGGCAGUUCAUUCCAACACUCUCCCUCAAGUUGGAGUAUGGAUAUCUAUGUUCCAACUUGUCAACCAUAUCAUGGAAUAUCUUCACAGACACUGCUUUUGUGAGUUUAUCAGCUAACUGGUCUUCUCACUUGACAAACUGGAACUGUAUAAUCUUUUGGUCUACCUUUUUCUUGAUGAAAUGCCAAUCAACUUCAACACGUUUGGUGCGAUCGUGUUGUACGGAAUUCUGUGCAAUCUCAAUUGCAGCCUUUGUCUAUUUUGGAUCUGCUAAGGCAUCUUGCACACUACUAUGAAUAAAUAUUUUGGAUAAUUGAUUAAUAGUAAGUGCAUACGAUUUAGACAAUCCAUGAGUAGAAAGAUAAUUACUAAUUAGAUACUUGACAUUGGCUCUAAGGUCAGGUUCAUACUGUUUCCUUGGUACAUCCUUAUUUGAUCUUUGUAGAUAUCUAGGAGCCAAAUUGUCACAAGAGUUACUUGUUUCAUUACACUCAUCAAGUAUAGGACUCGAGUUUACCUGAGUAGAGAUGUUAGUGUCAAGGACAUUCUGAGUUGAUUCUUUGGUCAAUGGUGUUAUCAUGGGCAACUCUUCAGGUGUUGGUGAUUCUUCAGCAGACAUUAGUAUUUGUAAUUUUCCAGAAUGAACUAAUGAAUCUUCAUCACAUCUUUCAGGGAAACCUUGCUGACUGUUAUGCUGAAAACUUUCACUUACUUUCUCUAGUUCUAAGAAAUCUGUCAUGUUUUCUUGUGGCACAUUCCCUUCACUAAAGCUCCCCCCUGAAAAGAAGGAGGUGUGACUCCUCCUGAAUAGUAUGGUUCUGAUUUACGAAAGGACACAUCAAAGGUCACUUAUAAUCUUUUUGUGUGUAGAUCAUAGCAUCGGUAUCCCUUCUGAAAAUCGGAGUAGCCAACAAAUACACAUCUUUUAGCACAAGGAUCAAGUUUAUUUCGCAAAAUUUUUGGAAUAUGGACAUAUACUGUGCAACUAAAAACCCUUGGUUCAAGAUUUGGGACAUGUGACAAUGAGAAGACAACUUGCAUCUUUUGUUGAGGAGUUCCAAAAUUAAGUAUGCGAGAGGGGACCCGAUUAAUUGGAUAAACAGCAGACUUCACUGCUUCUCCCCAAUAGAACCGAAGCAUAUUCAUGCCAAAGAGAGAAGCACGAACAACUUUCAUGAUUUGCCCAUUUCUCCUUUCUGCCAAGCCAUUUUGUUGUGGAGUAUAGGUGUUAGAAGUAUGAUGUCGAAUCCCUCUUUCGCUUAACUUCCCACAGUUUGUAUCUAGGAACUCCAGUGUGUUGUCAAUUUGCUAAAUACGAAUCUGCCUUUAAUAAUGAGUGCCCAUCAUAUUGUAGAAUUUCUGAAAUGCUGUAAGAAUAUCAAUUUUUUUGUGAAGCAGAGACACCCAAGUCAUUCGUGUGCACUCAUCAAUUAAUGUAACAAAAUAUCGUGCUUUAGAAAUAGAAGGAAUCUUUACAAGGCCCCAAACAUCAGAAUGUAUAAUCAUAAAUGGUUCAGAACAUUUAUUUAAACAUGGUGAAUAAGAAAUACAGUGACUUUUGGCCAGUUCGUAAAUAUCACAAUGAAAGUCUGAAAUAUUCAAAUUUGAAAAAAGAUACGGUUGCAAUCUCUUAAGAUAUCCAAAUGAAAUAUGUCCUAACCGCCGAUACCAUUACCAAACAGUUGCUUGAGCUUUAUCUCUACUACUUGUUUGACAUGCAAGGUUAUUUUUUUGUUUUCCAUUCUUUGUCAGAUCCAAGUAAUAGAGUUUGCCCCUUUUAAUACCAUAACCAAGAAUCUUCCGGAUCAGAAUAUCCUUAUCAACAAUACCUGGGUGGGUAACGUUAGCUGUAGGUUGUGAUUUGUCCUCUAUAUUUUGUUGGACCUCUGUUGUGGCAGCCAUCAUAGGAGUUCAUGCAACCUUCUUCCUUGAUUUUUUUGUGAAGUUCCACCAUUCAGGAUAGCCUAUGAUUUCAUAGCAUCUUUGUUUUGAAUGCCCUUUCUCGCCACAAUAACGACAGACAAAAUUAUUAGACUUGGCACUUUGAGUUUUUAUUGAGCCAGAUGAUGGUCCUUGCUGAGUUCGUUUGGCUACCAUAACAGAGCUUUCAGAGAUAGGUCGAGAACCUCCCAUCGUCUGUCUUUGCUAGUAUUCUCUUCGUACAUAUGCAUAAGUGCUCUCUAGAUUAAGUUUGGGGGUUCUUCCGAAGGAUUUCUCCACGAACAUCAUCAAACUCAGAAUCAAGCCCACUUAAAAAAACAUAAACUCGAAGCCUAGCCAUUGCGGAAUGCAAUUGGAUCACCCCUUCGACGAUUUCUUCCUGAGAGGUCAUCCUGUGAUCUAUUUCCUGGAAAAUAGCAACAAGUUCAUUAUAAUAUGUGGAUAAUGGUCUACCAUUUUGUGCGGUGGAGAAGCAUUUUUUUAUUCAAUUCAAAGAGACAAGUCUCAUCCAAUCCAUCAUAGAAGGUCUUUACUACAUCUUUCUAAAUUUCCUUGGCCGUGGAAAGACGAAUGAACCACUGCAUCAGCAAUGGAUCCAUUAAGUCAAUAAGCCAACUUUUCACUUUGUGAUUUUCGGUGACCUGUAUUGCGUAACUAAGAUCUUCGGGUGGUGGCUUCUUCACUUCUCCAGUGAGAUAUCCAGCCUUAUUACGAGAGCCAAUGCGCAUCUCUAUGAUUUGUGACCAUAAUGGGUAGUUGGUUUCAUUAAGUAUAACACUGGUGGGGAAUGCAAAACUGUCUUGGUUGAUGAUAAUUGGUGGUGUUUGGUUGUUUUGUAGAGUUGGAAUAAUGGGGUUGGUCUCAACCAUUUAGGUUCAGAAUAGUGUUUGGGCAAUGAUUAGUGGAAAGAAAAAAUGGGAAUGCAGAUGGUGGCUGAGCAAUAAUGGUGUUGGGGAAUACAAAAUAUGAUGUUGCAGAUGGUAAGUUAUGGUGGUGGUUUCAAGAUAUGAAAUUUAGAAAGUAAUUCUUCCAGAAUUAGAAUUGCUCUAAUACCAUGUUGAACGAUAAAAUCUGUGAAUAAUUUUGUUGUUGUGUAUUCUUCUCCGGAAAGGAGGUUAUAUAUAGAUAUAUUUACAACACAAAAUUAAGAGAGGAAAAUGAAGCAAUCCUAUUCUAAGGAAACAAGAUAAGUCUGUACAGGAAACAUUAUAUAUCAGGUCUGUUAAUUGUGCAAAUCCAUGAUUACAUAAUCUUCUCCUAAUUAGACAGUUCAUUCCAAUAGGUUCAAACUGAAAAAAUCGAUCGAACUGAAUUAAUUUGAAAAUUUAGUUCGUUUUUUUAUUUAUUUCAGUUUGAUUCGAUUUUGAUAAAAAAAAAUUAAAAAAACCAAACUGAACCAAUUAGCAUUAAUAGUAUAUUAUUUUCAAUAAUAUAGAGAGAUUAGAUUAUAUUAAAGUUAAAAUAUUUCAAUUAAAUUUUAAAAUACUAAAAAUAAAGUAUAAAAAAUAAAAAAUUUAUUAAAAAUUUAAACUGAUCAAAAUCAAAUUGAUUCGAUUCGAUUUCGGUUCAGUUUUUAUAAAUAUUAAAAUUUUGAUUUUUAAUUUAAUUCGAUUUUAAAUCGAACCGAUCGGACGAUUAUCCCUAAAUCAUAUAGAAUACACUUUUUGUAUUAAUUGAGAUUUCGUGUUAAAAAAUAUUAGAAUUAAAGGUAAAAAUAUAUUAAUAUUAAUUUUAUUGAUGUAAAAUUUAAUAUACAAUAAUAAUAAUAUAAAUAAUUACUGCUGUAAAUAUUUAAAUUAUAAAUGUUUUUUUUACCAAAAUUACAAAGAGUAAUGAAAAUUAAACGCACACAUCCUUCUAUUCCAACUAGAAGCCCAUCUGCCGCCCCACAAAUAUUAUAAAAAUAAAUUUUACUAAUAGAGUCUGAACUAACACAUUCACUAAUAAAAUAAUGGUAAAAUUAUUUUAAUUUUUAAUAAAUCAAACUGAUUAAUAUUUUUUUACAAUUAAUUUUAAUUAAAUUUAAAAUUUAAAAAUCUCAAUACGUCCAAAAUAAUUUUAAUAUCACUAAAUUACAGUUUAUUUGUGACUAUUUUACAUAUUUUAUAAAUAAUUUUAAACAGUAGCAUGGGCUGUUGUCAUCGAAUGGAUUAACAUGCUAAAGUUUUUUUUUUUUUUUUUUAUCAUGCAUCAAAUUAUCUACCUAGUGAACAUAUUAGAGAAUUAGAUCUCAUUGUGAAAAAUAAUUUAUAUUUAAAAAAUAUUUUUUAUAAAAAAGUUUUUAAUAAAAAAUUUUAUGAUAAUUCAAUUUGAGCUUCGCUUUAAUGUGGCAGAAAGUUAUUUGCAGACCCUUCUUCUUUGUUUUUUCCUCAUCGUGUUUUUUACUUUGACUUCUCCUCGGGUUUUAGUCGGUGACUUCUCCUAGGGUUUCUGUGUUUAAUGUCUUUGGAUUUCUUCCUUGCUGGGUUGGAUUUGGGACUUGGUUUUUUAGUUUCUCUGAUUUUGGGCCUGGUGAGCCCUUAUUGUAAUUGGACAUUGUAAUGGGAUUCGACCAUUAAUGAAUCUUAUUUUCGAUAACAAGAAAAAAAAUUCUAGUGACCAAAUGACAUCAACUUUAUUUUUUUUUUUACAUAAAUUCAAUGAUUUUUGAGUUCCAUUCAUAGAAAAUAAAUUUUAUUUUAUAAAAUAUUAAAAUCUAAUUAUGAAAGAAAGUUUUGAGACACUCAUAAAUUUAAUCUGAUGAUAAAUAUAUCUGAAUAAAUUUAAGAAAUCUCAUAUUCUACUCUCUCAAUCUCCAAUUUCCAUCUAAAAACAAAAAACUCUCAUAGCCCAAACAUAAAGCAGUAUUCUAUUUCUCCCAUUUCUUUUCAUAAUGGCUAUCCACAAAAUGUCGGUCAUCAACACUUUACACUUGGUUCAUUUUCUAUUUUUACAUUGAUUCUCUUCUCACCUCGUUUCAUUAAUAGUAAACAGAUUAAUUUUUGAAUUUUUAUUUUAUUAAUAAAAUAUUUUUUUAUUAAAUUACUAUUAAUUAAAAAAAUUAAUUUAAAUUAAAAAAAUUAAAUCGUUGUAAAUAUUAAAACUAUAAAAUUAAAUUAUUAUAAAUUGUUAAAAUUAAAAAAAUUAAAUUGUUAUAUAUUAAUAAUGAAUUUAACAGAAUAAAAUUUUAGAGAUUAAAUUAUUUAUUAUUAAAAUGAUAAGGACUAAAUUAUAAAUUUUAUUAAAUUUCAAUAAUUAUAUUAUAAAUUAUUUUUAAUAUUAAUUAAAAUAACUUAUUUUUUUAAAUUAAAAAAUAUAUUUAACUAAAUAAAUAAAAUUUUAACACUUUAUUAAAAUUUAAAAUUUCAAAAUUAAAUUACACCCAACUAAAUAAAACCAUCACUUCUUCUUUGAUUUUUUUUUUUGGGCAUAAUCUUUUCUUUAUACUUUCAAUUUGAAGUUAUAUUAUUGUUAGCUUUGGAUUGGAAUAUGCUCUCACAUACUUAAAUUAUGAUUUGAAUUUACUUUAGGUUAUAGCCGAGAAAAAGAAUAAAUUGUAAAAGAUAAGGAGAGAGGGGAUGAACAUUAAAUUUAGGUUUGAUCGGUUGGAUUUAAAAUCAAAUUGAGUUAAAUAAAUUAAAAUUUUUUGAAUUGAAUAAAUUAAAAAUAGAAAUUAUAGUAUUUAUAAAAACGAAUCGAAUCGAUUUGAUUAGUUUGAAUUUUUAAUAAUUUUUUAUUUUUUAUACUUUAUUUUUAAUAUUUUAAAAUUUAAUUAGAAUAUUUUAAUUUUAAUAUGAUUUAAUUUUUAUAUUAUUACUAAAUCGGUUCGGUUCGAUUUUUUAAUUUUUUUCUAAUUAAAAUCAAAUCGAAUCGAAAUAACCGAAAUUUUUAAAAUUAAAAAUCAAACCGAAUUAAAAUAAAUAAAAAACUAAAUUAAAAUUUUAAAUUAUUUUAAUUUACACUUGCAAACGAAAAUAAAAGAAGGUAAAAUUAAAGAAUUUGAAUUAUUAAAAAUAAUUUUAAAAUAAAUAUUUAUAUAUAAAAAAGGAAAGUGGAAGGCAAUGCGAUUGGAAGGUGCUUUUCUUUAUAAAGCCAACUGAUUCUUAUUCUUAAUUGCUAUAUAUAUUUGAUUUUUACUGUAUAUUUCAACAUUCCUAUCACCGAAAUUCGAUAUGAUCGUUUACAUCAUUGCUAGCUUUUUCUCAAAAUAUAAUAGAGAGACUAGCAUAAGGUUUUUUUUUUUUUCUUUUAUAUACAAGAGGAGCAGAUUUUUAGAUAGUGAUAAUCCGAAGAAAUAAAAAAAUAUUUAUAAAUUAAUUUGUAAUAAUUUUUCAAUAACUCCAUAUAAAUUCAAAAAUUAUUUCAAAUUAUUAAAAAUUGACGUGAUAGUUAAAUUAAUUAAUUGAUCUGUAAUAUAAUUUAUUUAUCUAUAUAUAUAUCUAAAUCUUAUUUAUCAAUUGAGGUAUAACGGUUUAUGAAAUUUAUUUUAAAAAAUAUUUAUAAUUGAAUUUUUUUUAUUUUAUUAAUCAAGUUGCAUCUCUCGAAAUUAAUUAAUUAUACUCAACUAAAUAUGAUAAUUUAGUUACUCAUUUUACAUGGGCUUCAAAAUUCUUUUGAAAUUUUUUUAAAAAUAUAAUUAAAAAUGAUUUUUGAAAGCGUAAAUUAAAUAAUCAAUAAUGGGUUAUUAAAUUUAUCUAAUCUAACUUAAUCAGUAAUUAAAAAUAUAUCACUUAUUUAAUAUAUUUAUAUUCCAACUCUACUUAAAAAAUAAUUAUCAAAUUUUAUCUGUAAAAAUUAUAAUUAAUGUGACUUCAUUUGAUAAAUUAAUAUUUUUUUUAAAAAAGACGAGUAAUUACUGCACUCACAAAUUUAGUCUGGUGGUAAGUGUAUUUAAAUAAAUUUGAGAGAUCUUAAAUUCUACUCUUUUAGUAACUAAAUUUCCAUUUCAAAAAAAAAACAUAUAUAAUUACUAAAUUAUGAGUGAAACUCAAAUCUACACAUCAGAAUGAAUUACAUAUAUUUUUAGUUAUUCAACCAAGUUAGUCUAAACAUAAACAACUGCUAAAUGAUGAAUAGAGUUCAAAUCUAUAUAUCGAAAUGAGAUACAUAUAUCUUUAAUUAUUGAAUCAAAUCAGUCUAAAUAUAAAUAACUACGAAAUAAUGAGUGGGACUUAACUCUGCAUAUUAAUUUAUUUUUUCAUCUUUCAAAUUUGAAAUUUUAUAGCUAUGAUGUCAAUUUUGAUUUCAAUUUAAUUAAUUGUAUUCCUCCUUUAGUAUGUUAUUUAAAUUUGACUUUCAAGAAAAAAAAUCAUGUUAAAUACUGUUAAAAAGAUUUUUAAAAAAUUAUAAUUAAAAUUUAUUACAUUUAUUUUAUUUUAUUUUUUAAUAUUUUAUAAUUAAUGUAUGCAUGUAAAUAUAUAAUAAAAGAAAAUAAAUUCUUUUGAAUAAUAUUUUUUUCUCAUGUUUUUUUAUACAAAUGAGGUGUGGAAACUAAAAGAAUAAACAAAACUUGAGAGGGAUCAUAAUGAGGUGUGGAAACUAAAAGAAUAAACAAAACUUGAGAGGGAUCAUAGAGGAGAUGCAAUCCCUUGAAUGUCUCAAUCAAUAAAGUCACGCAUAGCAAUAAGGAGAGAAGUAGAAAAAUCCAAUUGUACGGAAUGACCAAUGACCAGAUUUGCAAGCCCAUAAAUCACUUUAUUAGUUUCACGAUAAUAAUAUCGCAGAACUAUCUACCAAGGCCGAGAAAGCAACUCCUAAUACUACGAGAGUAUACUAAAAAAAUGCAGCAUAUAGCCUAACCUCUUCCACAGAAGACUGCAAUAAAUUCAAAACCCCUUUAGAAUCAACCUCAAGCCCAUCAACCACUUCAUUAGUUUCACAAUAACAAUGUCGCAAAACCAUUUGCCAACGCCGAGAAAGCAACUCCUAACACUGAGAGCAGACUAAAAAAAUUCAACCUAACCUGUUUCACAGAAGAUUGCAACAAAUCCAAAAUCCCUUUAGAAUCAACCUCAACCUAUAGUCUCUGUAUUCCAUAAUCCCAAGCUAUACAUAGACCAUAUAAAAGAGAAUUUAAUUCAGCUUGCAUUGAGUUACAAACAUCUAGUCUAAUAAUAAAUCUAGUCAAUCAAAACCCUCUACUAUCCCUCAACACACUACCCUAUUGUUGUAGCCUGAAUUACCCCCUUCAAGCUCCAUCAAUGUUUAAUUUAACCCAACUCUCUCUAGGAAAACCCAAAAAACAUCAAUAAGUUUUUUAUUUCUAGGCACAUAUUAUCCCACCCAAGCAACAACAUUAAUAUGCAAAGCAAUUCUAAGCAUAUGAAACUUACUCUCUAGAGGGUGGUAAACCCUUGUUAAGAUCAAUUCAUUAAGCUAUUUCUAUAGAUACUACAAAGUUAAACAUAAAUUUUGAUCCGAGAAAAAUUACAAACAUGAUACUUGGGUAAAACUCGAAGCAGCCAUCGGCCAAUCCGUAGGCUACAUCAAGUAGAAGGAAUGUAGAGAAGCACAAUACCAAAUAAUAUCUCAUACCUCUCUGACUCUACAACACUCCAUAAAAAUAUGAAUUCUACCUUCUAUGGCACCCGAACACAAAAGCAGGAUGGGUCAAUAGUAAAACUUAUCCGUUUUCUCUCCAUAUUUGUCAUCAACUUACUAAGCUGGAAGAGUUAGAGAAAAGACUGAACUUCUUAAGCAACUUUAGACUUCCAAAUACAGCCCCAAACUUUAUCUGAUUGGUCUAAAAUCAUAUUCUUGUGUAUCAAAAAAGCAGAUUUCAUAGAGAAAUUGCCAGAUGAAGUACCAUUCCGCGCUACCUGAUUAUGAUAUAAAAAGAUGAGGACUCACCACCACAGUUUCCAAUUGGAGGCAGAGAGAUAUCGAAAGAUAAAGAGAGAUCAAAUUCCAACACUAGGACGUCUCCUGAUACACCUAACCGCAACAAGAGCAUGAUCUACUUAUGGAGAAUCACCUAACCAUACAUCAUUCUAAAAAUUUCUCAAAUGGCCAUUACCAAUCUCCAUAUAGGAACCUUGUUGCAAUAAGUCCCUACUACAAGUUAGACCCCUCCAUUGCACAAACAUUCUGUCACAAAACUAUACUAGAGAAAUCUAAACAUUGUCUCAUAAUACCAACCUGAUGGACUGUUACGUCCCUAAAUAAUAAAAGGUCAUUUGCAAAAAAACAGGUGAGAGAGUGCCAGGUAAUGACAGAGUAAGUUGAAUAGCUUUCAAUUCUCAAUCUCAAUCAAAUAAUUAAUACAAUGACUCAAACACUCCAUGGCAAGAAUAAGAAGGAAAAGAGAUAAAAGAUCCCUUAACAUACUUUCUGUGUA